AAACUAUUUAUUUUGGAAAAAAAUCAAAGUAAAGUGUGUUUUAGUUAAAUUUAUUUUUUCACUUUUGUAAUUUGUAAAAUAUAAUGGUGUAUAUGUAUUUAACAUAGGUGAACUAUGUUUCUCCAGACAAGUUAGUGCUAGUUCUUAAUUUAUUCAAGAAAAUGUAAUAAUGUUACUCUCAUCAUUGCAAUUUUGCAAUUAACCACAAGAUUGCAAAUUUAUCAUUUUCAUUCAUUUAUUGUUAUCAUUUAGCACAUCAUAAAAACCUAAAAAGCACAAGUUGACACUUUUUUGUGUUUUUGCAAAGACGUAUAAUUAAUGUAUAUGUCCUUUGUUUUUGUUUUUGACAAGUUUGACAAGACUGACUUUUAGUUAUAGCAGUUAUGUCCCCUUAAAUGUUUUACUGAUGACUGAUGUUUGAAUGGCAGCUUUGAUAGUUAUCAGUGCUGCAUAAAAUAUGUCAGUUUUAUAGAAAUUUCUACUAAAUUUUGUCUUAUAUGCUACAAAAUCUCUGAUAAAGAGUCUCAAGUUCUUUACAAAUUUUUAAGUUUUAUUUAAUAUAUAGUUUUUUCAUAAUCCUGGUGUGUUGAUAUUUUAUCAUUUUUUCAAGCCUGGUGUUUUUAUUUUGUAGCUUUUGAAUGUUUUGUCCCAGUUAAGUUCAUAAUAAGUCUCAUUUAGCUUGUUUGUAUGUAUUUUUAAGCGACAUUUUUAUAUUUGUAUAUAUUUGGCAGUAUUUAUGCAUGCAUAUAGUUGUUAGAUUUUACAUAAAGUUAUUUGUUAUGUUAAUGAUACAUAUUAUACACUUCCAACUUCAA
RNAcentral lists this long non-coding RNA (815 nucleotides) under Mytilus galloprovincialis (Mediterranean mussel). The record is from RNAcentral. Lineage: Eukaryota; Metazoa; Mollusca; Bivalvia; Mytilida; Mytilidae.